RNAcentral lists this ribosomal RNA (484 nucleotides) under uncultured bacterium. Its description in RNAcentral is "bacterial SSU rRNA". It matches the Rfam family "Bacterial small subunit ribosomal RNA", at positions 28 to 507 of the family's 1533-position model. The record is from RNAcentral.
GAUGAACGCUAGCGGCAGGCCUAACACAUGCAAGUCGAGGGGCAGCACAGGUAGCAAUACUGGGUGGCGACCGGCGGAUGGGUGCGUAACGCGUAUGCAACCUACCAUUGAUUGGGGCAUAGCCCGAAGAAAUUCGGAUUAAUACUCCAUAAUAUUCAUCAAAGGCAUCUUUUAUGAAUUAAAGCUUUUGCGAUCAAUGAUGGGCAUGCGUGACAUUAGUUAGUUGGUGAGGUAACGGCUCACCAAAACGAUGAUGUCUAGGGGUUCUGAGAGGAUUAUCCCCCACACUGGUACUGAGACACGGACCAGACUCCUACGGGAGGCAGCAGUGAGGAAUAUUGGUCAAUGGACGCAAGUCUGAACCAGCCAUGCCGCGUGCAGGAUGACGGCCCUAUGGGUUGUAAACUGCUUUUCCACGGGAAGAACCCUCCGACGUGUCGGUAGACUGACGGUACCGUGGGAAUAAGCAUCGGCUAACUCCGUG